This is a transfer RNA of Treponema primitia ZAS-2, 84 nucleotides long. It matches the Rfam family "tRNA". From Rfam's summary of the family: Transfer RNA (tRNA) molecules are approximately 80 nucleotides in length. Their secondary structure includes four short double-helical elements and three loops (D, anti-codon, and T loops). NCBI's taxonomy places the organism in Bacteria, Pseudomonadati, Spirochaetota, Spirochaetia, Treponematales, Treponemataceae. The record is from Rfam.
GCCCGGAUGGUGGAAUUGGUAGACACGCUGGUUUCAGGUACCAGUGCCCUCACAGGUAUGGAAGUUCGAGUCUUCUUCCGGGCA